Molecule: RNA transcript, 1537 nt
Organism: Mandrillus leucophaeus (drill)
Lineage: Eukaryota; Metazoa; Chordata; Mammalia; Primates; Cercopithecidae
Gene name: E3 ubiquitin-protein ligase RNF13-like
Exons: 2
Source: RefSeq, a predicted model, not a curated record
UGUCAUCCCUGCUCCUACUCCGGGCUGCGGGGUCAGUGCGGAUAUUCAGUCAUGAAGUCAAGGUAGGGACUUCUCCUGCAACGUGGCCGGCAAGACUGUUUGUGUUGCGAGGGCUGGACUUCCAGGUGAUUUUACAACAAGAUGCUGCUCUCCACAGGGAUGCUUAUGUUGUCAGUCACACAAGUCUACACCAUCUUGACUGUCCAGCUCUUUGCAUUCUUAAACCUACUGCCUGUAGAAGCAGACAUUUUAGCAUAUAACUUUGAAAAUACAUCUCAGACAUUUGAUGACCUUCCUGCAAGAUUUGGUUAUAGACUUCCAGCUGAAGGUUUAAAGGGUUUUUUGAUUAACUCAAAACCAGAGAAUGCGUGUAAACCCAUAGUGCCUCCACCAGUAAAAGAUAAUUCAUCUGGCACUUUCAUUGUGUUAAUCAGAAGACUUGAGUAUAAUUUUGAUACAAAGAUUUUAAAUGCACAGAGAGCAGAAUACAAAGCAGCCAUAGUUCAUGAUGUUGAUUCUGUUGACCUCAUUAGCAUGGAAUCCAACGACAUUGAGGUACUAAAGACAACUGACAUUCCAUCUGUCUUUAUUGGUGAAUCAUCAGCUAAUUCUCUGAAAGAUGAAUUCACAUAUGAAAAAGGGGGCCACCUUAUCUUAAUUUCAGAAUUUAGUCUUCUCUUGGAAUGCUACCUAAUUGCCUUCCUUAUCAUAGUGGGCAUCUGUCUCAUCUUUAUAGUCAUUUUCAUAAAUUUUUUCCAGGAUAGACAUAGAGCUAGAAGAAACAGACUUCAUAAAGAUCAACUUAAGAAACUCCCUAUACAUAAAUUCAAGAAAGGAGAUGAGUAUGAUGUAUGUGCCAUUUGUUCAGAUGAGCAGGAAGAUGGAGACAAGCUCAGAAUCCUUCCCUGUUCCCAUGCUUAUCACUGCAAGUGUGUAGACCCUUGACUAACUAAAAACCAAAAAAACCUGUCCAGUGUGCAAGCAAAAAGUUCCUUCUCAAGGCAAUUCAGACUCUGACACAGAUGGUAGUCAAGAAUAAAAUGAAGUGACAGAACAUACUCCUUUAGUUAGACCUUUAGCUUCUGUCAGUGCCCAGUCAUUUGGGGCUUUGUCAGAAUCCCGCUCACAUCAGAAUAUGACCAAAUCUUUAGACUAUGAGGAAAAUGACAAUGAAGAUACCAACAGUAGUGAUGAAGAAAAUGAAACUAAUGAACAUAAUGUUGUGGUCCAGUUGCAGCCUAAUAGUGAAUGGGAUUACAACAUAGCAAAUACUGUUUGACUUUCAGAAGAUGAUUGGUUUAUUUCCCUUUAAAAUGUUUAGGUAUAUACUUUAGUUUGAUUUUUUUACUCCCUUCAAAGAUUUCCAUAGAAAUAACUUAUUUUUUAGUAUUCUACAAUUUAAUAAAAUUGCUGAAAAAGGACUUUUGAUCUGGUGUUUAUCUGCAAGAGUGUACUUCUUCACUAAUAAUAAUAGACUGGUGCUGUAACUUAAGCAUCAUUUCAGCUCUUCUUUUGGAGUGAAAGUAUAGCCAAAACA